AGUUGCGGCCAGAGGACGCUAGAACUGCUUGUUAAUCUGCACAUUUAUUAGUUUUGACAGUAACAUUAAGAGCCGUAUGAAACAUUUUGUUCCGUUCUCCGGAGUUCCCUAGCCUACAGCAGGCUGUCACUGACAAGAUUAUUGUGUGCGAUCAUGGACGCUUUUUUUUUUUAUAAAGUGUAUCUGAUUAAAAAUGUUAGUUAAAAGUACCUACCUGGGUAUGCAAAAAUUAAGGGAAUGUUCCAGCUGUGUGUACACUAUUACUAUAACUUUUGUUCCAUUCAAACGUUGCAGUGAAGGAGAACUCGGGAGCUCCGAAGUGAGCGGAGCGACGACAGAGAGAGAGAACUAAUGGCGUUUGGCAGUGCAAUCGACGGGCUCCUAAUAAAACUACUCAGAGCACUUGUGAAGGAGUUCCUAAAGGAUCACACAAAGGAGCUCACCGACCCAUCUAGCUACCAGUAUUUAAAUGGACUAUAAUCUUUAUAAGCCUCAAAAUACUACCUACAUCAAAAUUUAUAUUCAAUAUUGAUCGCUCUUUAUAAUGGCCAAUCUUUUAUAUUAAAGUUUUAUGCAAAUAUCCAGUGACCGGGUGUAUUACACCGUCACCCAAGCUUUCGAAAGCGAUGAUCUACAGGCGAAGAGUACUCACGCUAUCACAGGACACACAUAGGGAAGUAAACUCUAAGACCUCGAAGAACAUUCAUCAAACACAAGACUCGAGGGUCGCCGACACAGACAACCUCCCAACAAAGAAAUAUGAACAAGUCAGGUUCAUACAGUUGAAAAACAGGGAUACAGAGUCGCCUCCAGGCGACACGUGCCCACCGGCC
Molecule: long non-coding RNA, 833 nt
Organism: Danaus plexippus (monarch butterfly)
Lineage: Eukaryota; Metazoa; Arthropoda; Insecta; Lepidoptera; Nymphalidae
Exons: 3
Source: RefSeq, a predicted model, not a curated record